UCGAACGAGAAAGUGGAGCAAUCCAUGAGUACAGUGGCGACCGGGUGAGUAACACGUGACUAACCUACCUCCGAAUGGGGAAUAACUCCGGGAAACCGGGGCUAAUACCGCAUAACACCGCAAGGUCAAAGCAGCAAUGCGUUUGGAGAGGGGGUCGCGGCUGAUUAGCUAGUUGGCGGGGUAACGGCCCACCAAGGCGAAGAUCGGUAUCCGGCCUGAGAGGGCGCACGGACACACUGGAACUGAAACACGGUCCAGACUCCUACGGGAGGCAGCAGUGGGGAAUUUUGCGCAAUGGGGGAAACCCUGACGCAGCAACGCCGCGUGGAGGAUGAAGCCCUUUGGGGCGUAAACUCCUUUCGACCAAGACGAUAAUGACGGUUGUGGUGGAAGGACCACCGGGCUAAUCAUUAGUGUCGCGCAGUCGCGGGGAGUAUACAUGUGAAGUUG
This 450-nucleotide ribosomal RNA is filed under the name uncultured bacterium. RNAcentral describes it as "bacterial SSU rRNA". It matches the Rfam family "Bacterial small subunit ribosomal RNA", at positions 62 to 534 of the family's 1533-position model. The record is from RNAcentral.